RNAcentral lists this non-coding RNA (92 nucleotides) under Frigoribacterium sp. RNAcentral's name for it is "Glycine sequence". It matches the Rfam family "Glycine riboswitch aptamer". Rfam says of the family: This family represents the bacterial glycine riboswitch. The record is from RNAcentral. RNAcentral also lists the same sequence under 1 other name. Lineage: Bacteria; Bacillati; Actinomycetota; Actinomycetes; Micrococcales; Microbacteriaceae.
CGUCCUGUUGCGGGAGAGCCCCGAUCGCCAUCGGGCACCGAAGGAGCAAGCCUCCCCGCCAAUCUCUCAGGUACGCGUACCGCGCAGGUCGG